This 75-nucleotide antisense RNA is filed under the name Streptomyces sp. 3211.6. Its description in RNAcentral is "ASpks TB sRNA". It matches the Rfam family "ASpks TB sRNA". Lineage: Bacteria; Bacillati; Actinomycetota; Actinomycetes; Kitasatosporales; Streptomycetaceae. The record is from RNAcentral. RNAcentral also lists the same sequence under 1 other name.
CUUCAGCGAACCCAGGUAGAGCGGCUCGCCACCGGAACGUUCCUGCCCGUACGUGGCCAGCAGCGCCUGCGCCUC